This 240-nucleotide ribosomal RNA is filed under the name uncultured bacterium. Its description in RNAcentral is "partial 16S ribosomal RNA". It matches the Rfam family "Bacterial small subunit ribosomal RNA", at positions 524 to 763 of the family's 1533-position model. The record is from RNAcentral.
UACGAAGGGGGCUAGCGUUGUUCGGAAUCACUGGGCGUAAAGCGCACGUAGGCGGAUCUUUAAGUCAGGGGUGAAAUCCCGAGGCUCAACCUCGGAACUGCCUUUGAUACUGGGGAUCUCGAGUCCGGGAGAGGUGAGUGGAACUGCGAGUGUAGAGGUGAAAUUCGUAGAUAUUCGCAAGAACACCAGUGGCGAAGGCGGCUCACUGGCCCGGAACCGACGCUGAGGCGCGAAAGCGUG